Molecule: ribosomal RNA, 274 nt
Filed under: uncultured bacterium
Lineage: Bacteria
Description: partial 16S ribosomal RNA
Rfam family: Bacterial small subunit ribosomal RNA
Source: RNAcentral
AUACGGAGGGUGCAAGCGUUAAUCGGAAUUACUGGGCGUAAAGCGCCCGUAGGCGGUUUGUUAAGUCGGAUGUGAAAGCCCCGGGCUCAACCUGGGAACUGCAUUCGAUACUGGCAAACUAGAGUAUAGUAGAGGCAAGUGGAAUUCCGGGUGUAGCGGUGAAAUGCGUAGAUAUCCGGAGGAACAUCAGUGGCGAAGGCGACUUGCUGGACUAAUACUGACGCUGAGGAGCGAAAGCGUGGGGAGCAAACGGGAUUAGAAACCCUGGUAGUCC